Molecule: ribosomal RNA, 497 nt
Filed under: uncultured bacterium
Lineage: Bacteria
Description: partial 16S ribosomal RNA
Rfam family: Bacterial small subunit ribosomal RNA
Source: RNAcentral
GAUGAACGCUGGCGGCGUGCCUAAUACAUGCAAGUCGAGCGAACGGACGAUAAGCUUGCUUCUCUGAUGUUAGCGGCGGACGGGUGAGUAACACGUGGAUAACCUACCUCUAUGACUUGGAUGACUUCGGGAAACCGGAGCUAAUACCGGAUAAUAUUUUGUACCGCAUGGUUCAAAAGUGAAUGACGGCCUUGCUGUCACUUAUAGAUGGAUCCGCGCUGCAUUAGCUAGUUGGUAAGGUAACGGCUUACCAAGGCAACGAUGCAUAGCCGACCUGAGAGGGUGAUCGGCCACACUGGAACUGAGACACGGUCCAGACUCCUACGGGAGGCAGCAGUAGGGAAUCUUGCGCAAUGGGCGAAAGCCUGACGGAGCAACGCCGCGUGAGUGAUGAAGGUCUUCGGAUCGUAAAACUCUGUUAUUAGGGAAGAACAUAUGUGUGAGUAACUGUGCACAUCUUGACGGUACCUAAUCAGAAAGCCACGGCUAACUACGUG